Molecule: ribosomal RNA, 484 nt
Filed under: uncultured bacterium
Lineage: Bacteria
Description: partial 16S ribosomal RNA
Rfam family: Bacterial small subunit ribosomal RNA
Source: RNAcentral
AUUGAACGCUGGCGGCAGGCCUAACACAUGCAAGUCGAGCGGAUGAAGGGAGCUUGCUCCUGGAUUCAGCGGCGGACGGGUGAGUAAUGCUUAUGAAUAUGCCUGGUAGUGGGGGAUAACGUCCGCAAACGGGCGCUAAUACCGCAUCCGCCCUGAGUCAGCAAGUCGGGGAUCUUCGGACCUCACGCUAUCACAUGAGCCUAGGUCGGAUUAGCUAGUUGGUGGGGUAAAGGCCUACCAAGGCGACGAUCCGUAACUGGUCUGAGAGGAUGAUCAGUCACACUGGAACUUAGACACGGUCCAGACUCCUACGGGAGGCAGCAGUGGGGAAUAUUGGACAAUGGGCGAAAGCCUGAUCCAGCCAUGCCGCGUGUGUGAAGAAGGUCUUCGGAUUGUAAAGCACUUUAAGUUGGGAGGAAGGGCUGUAAGUUAAUACCUUGCUGUUUUGACGUUACCAACAGAAUAAGCACCGGCUAACUUCGUG